RNAcentral lists this ribosomal RNA (447 nucleotides) under uncultured Sphingobacteriales bacterium. RNAcentral describes it as "bacterial SSU rRNA". It matches the Rfam family "Bacterial small subunit ribosomal RNA", at positions 933 to 1382 of the family's 1533-position model. Lineage: Bacteria; Pseudomonadati; Bacteroidota; Sphingobacteriia; Sphingobacteriales. The record is from RNAcentral.
AGGAGCAUGUGGUUAAUUCGAUGAUACGCGAGGAACCUUACCCGGGCUCGAACGUAAGAUGACUGUAGGUGAAAGCUUACAUCUCUUCGGAGCAUUUUACGAGGUGCUGCAUGGUUGUCGUCAGCUCGUGCCGUGAGGUGUCGGGUUAAGUCCCAUAACGAGCGCAACCCUACCUUUAGUUGUCAUCAGGUAAUGCUGGGGACUCUAAAGGAACUGCCUACGCAAGUAGUGAGGAAGGCGGGGAUGACGUCAAAUCAGCACGGCCCUUACGUCCAGGGCUACACACGUGCUACAAUGGCCGAUACAGAGGGCAGCUACCUGGUGACAGGAUGCAAAUCUCCAAAGUCGGUCUCAGUUCGGAUCGGAGUCUGCAACCCGACUCCGUGAAGUUGGAUUCGCUAGUAAUCGCGCAUCAGCCAUGGCGCGGUGAAUACGUUCCCGGGCCUU